Molecule: unclassified non-coding RNA, 253 nt
Filed under: Hevea brasiliensis (rubber tree)
Lineage: Eukaryota; Viridiplantae; Streptophyta; Magnoliopsida; Malpighiales; Euphorbiaceae
Source: RNAcentral
CGCUCCGCAACGUGACGCGUUGUCAAUGGCAAGUCGAGGCCUGUAAGUAUAUGUAUCUGGAACAAGGCCCAUUUGAUCAAGUAAUUCAAAGGCUUUUCCUGUGUCUCCUGCGAUGUCCUUCAAUCAUAGCGUUAUAAGUGACCUCAUUUGGCAUGAUGUUCCUGUUCUUUCAUUCACCAAACCAUCUGAUUGUCUCAACCAUCAUAUUUGCUCUACAAAGGCCAGAUAUCAUUGCAGUAAAUGCCCAUACCAG